Molecule: transfer RNA, 69 nt
Filed under: Quasipaa verrucospinosa
Lineage: Eukaryota; Metazoa; Chordata; Amphibia; Anura; Dicroglossidae
Description: tRNA-Arg
Rfam family: tRNA
About the family: Transfer RNA (tRNA) molecules are approximately 80 nucleotides in length. Their secondary structure includes four short double-helical elements and three loops (D, anti-codon, and T loops). Further hydrogen bonds mediate the characteristic L-shaped molecular structure. tRNAs have two regions of fundamental functional importance: the anti-codon, which is responsible for specific mRNA codon recognition, and the 3' end, to which the tRNAs corresponding amino acid is attached (by aminoacyl-tRNA synthetases). tRNAs cope with the degeneracy of the genetic code in two manners: having more than one tRNA (with a specific anti-codon) for a particular amino acid; and 'wobble' base-pairing, i.e. permitting non-standard base-pairing at the 3rd anti-codon position.
Source: RNAcentral
GAGCUGCUAGUCCAAUAAAGAUAACUGAUUUCGACUCAGUGGAUUGUGGUUUAAACCCACGGCACCUCU